AGCGGACAGAUGGGAGCUUGCUCCCUGAUGUUAGCGGCGGACGGGUGAGUAACACGUGGGUAACCUGCCUGUAAGACUGGGAUAACUCCGGGAAACCGGGGCUAAUACCGGAUGGUUGUUUGAACCGCAUGGUUCAAACAUAAAAGGUGGCUUCGGCUACCACUUACAGAUGGACCCGCGGCGCAUUAGCUAGUUGGUGAGGUAACGGCUCACCAAGGCAACGAUGCGUAGCCGACCUGAGAGGGUGAUCGGCCACACUGGGACUGAGACACGGCCCAGACUCCUACGGGAGGCAGCAGUAGGGAAUCUUCCGCAAUGGACGAAAGUCUGACGGAGCAACGCCGCGUGAGUGAUGAAGGUUUUCGGAUCGUAAAGCUCUGUUGUUAGGGAAGAACAAGUACCGUUCGAAUAGGGCGGUACCUUGACGGUACCUAACCAGAAAGCCACGGCUAACUACGUGCCAGCAGCCGCGGUAAUACGUAGGUGGCAAGCGUUGUCCGGAAUUAUUGGGCGUAAAGGGCUCGCAGGCGGUUUCUUAAGUCUGAUGUGAAAGCCCCCGGCUCAACCGGGGAGGGUCAUUGGAAACUGGGGAACUUGAGUGCAGAAGAGGAGAGUGGAAUUCCACGUGUAGCGGUGAAAUGCGUAGAGAUGUGGAGGAACACCAGUGGCGAAGGCGACUCUCUGGUCUGUAACUGACGCUGAGGAGCGAAAGCGUGGGGAGCGAACAGGAUUAGAUACCCUGGUAGUCCACGCCGUAAACGAUGAGUGCUAAGUGUUAGGGGGUUUCCCCUUAGUGCUGCAGCUUACGCAUUA
RNAcentral lists this ribosomal RNA (813 nucleotides) under Bacillus sp. (in: firmicutes). RNAcentral's name for it is "bacterial SSU rRNA". It matches the Rfam family "Bacterial small subunit ribosomal RNA", at positions 65 to 862 of the family's 1533-position model. Lineage: Bacteria; Bacillati; Bacillota; Bacilli; Caryophanales; Bacillaceae. The record is from RNAcentral.